UAUGAUGCGCAGUCUCAAAUUCAGUAAAAAGGCUACUAUAAAGCACAUACGCCAGCAGAGCGCCGCCAAAAGCGCCGGCAAACUGGGCAAUAAUAUAAGGCAAUACUUUCUGUUUGGGGAAGCAGGCAAACAGCCACAGCGCAAUCGUCACCGCAGGGUUAAGAUGUCCGCCGGAGAUGCCGGCCGUAAGGUAAACGGCCAGUGAAAUCCCAGGCCCCCAAAUAAUGCAAAUCUCCCAUAAUCCGAGGCUGGCGCCUGCGACUUUGAGCGCGCUCAAACAACCG
RNAcentral lists this unclassified non-coding RNA (284 nucleotides) under uncultured fungus. Its description in RNAcentral is "partial internal transcribed spacer 1". Lineage: Eukaryota; Fungi. The record is from RNAcentral.